Molecule: unclassified non-coding RNA, 279 nt
Filed under: uncultured Ramicandelaber
Lineage: Eukaryota; Fungi; Kickxellomycota; Kickxellomycetes; Kickxellales; Kickxellaceae
Description: sequence contains ITS2
Source: RNAcentral
UAUCUCUCCUAUACCAAUAUUUGUUGGAAUAGGGACUUGGGGUCUUCUCGUCGGCAAUAAUAAUUCUAUUAUUAUUACUGGUGAACCCUUUAAAUAUAGCAAGCUCCCAUCUUUUAUCGGAAAUACGCAAACUUGGGGAUGGCGUCGUAGCAAUCACUCUUAUCAGUAUUGUCGAAGCGCCUAUUCAUACCUCUAAUCUGCGGUGCUAAUCCUUUUUCAGUGGGCGAAGCUUGGCGACUGGCAAAGUGCCAUGCUCCCUUUAUUGGAGUACACGAACAA